GUUUCCGUUGUACGAGUUGUAGCUUGGAUGGCUGAUGAUGUGCACGAUGGUUCGAUUCACCUCAUGAGAACUGGAACUCUGUUUCAUCUGACGACCGAGGUACACCACCAGACCCUCGGUACCGGAACUGUUUCAACGAGUAGUUCAGAGCCAGUGGAGGUCAGAGUUCUUCAAGAGGAGUUCUGGUCAUGACCACUCACCCCAGCGUUCUGGACUUGACCUGCUGUGACCUCUGACCUGAACCUGGAGGCUCAGCAGCAGACACAGAAAAACAGCGAUGGAUCUGCAGGGAGUCAUCGUUCAAAGGCCACGUGUGUGUGUGUGUGUCUGUGUGUGUGUGUGUCCAGAGGUUCAUCCGAGCCUUAAAUCUACUCUCAAUCUCAC
Long non-coding RNA from Cynoglossus semilaevis (tongue sole), 384 nucleotides. RefSeq lists it as uncharacterized. The transcript is spliced from 3 exons. The record is from RefSeq and is a predicted model, not a curated record. NCBI's taxonomy places the organism in Eukaryota, Metazoa, Chordata, Actinopteri, Pleuronectiformes, Cynoglossidae.